This 456-nucleotide long non-coding RNA is filed under the name Sorghum bicolor (sorghum). RNAcentral describes it as "long non-coding RNA (SBIC_LNC011889)". Lineage: Eukaryota; Viridiplantae; Streptophyta; Magnoliopsida; Poales; Poaceae. The record is from RNAcentral.
CUUACUUAUAGAUAAAGCAUAUAUUUAAUAAGAAUAAAGCUAAAUAAAUUUAUAACUAAGUUAUACAUGAUCCAAUGGGUACGAAACAUUUAUCAUAGUUCAAGCAUACAAUAAUGAGCUCACCAUUAAAAUUUUACUAUAAUUGAACCAUAUGAACUACACGUAUGAAUUAUUCUUAUUAAUUAUAGAAAAACAUAGAUUUAAAUCGACAGCAAAAACAUUGUACUAAAAUAUAUUAUAUUAUAUAUUCACUGUGUAGAUCUACUCAUCAACAGUCCAAUAAAAUUGAAUUCUUCAUUUUAUGAUUUUUUUAUGAUUUAUUAUGGUUUUUAAAAUAUUCAGUGAAAAUAAAUAAAAAAGAAAAAGACAAAACCACCCUCCAAAACCACUCAAGGGAUUAGUUGACCGGUUUUGAAUAUUCAGAGGGUAAAAUAUCCAGUUUUAUAGUUCGGGAGA